UACAGGGGGGGCAAGCGUUGUUCGGAAUUACUGGGCGUAAAGGGCUUGUAGGCGGUUUGUCGCGUCUGCUGUGAAAAUCCGGGGCUCAACCCCGGACUUGCAGUGGGUACGGGCAGACUAGAGUGUGGUAGGGGAGACUGGAAUUCCUGGUGUAGCGGUGAAAUGCGCAGAUAUCAGGAGGAACACCGAUGGCGAAGGCAGGUCUCUGGGCCACUACUGACGCUGAGAAGCGAAAGCAUGGGGAGCGAACAGG
This 253-nucleotide ribosomal RNA is filed under the name uncultured bacterium. Its description in RNAcentral is "partial 16S ribosomal RNA". It matches the Rfam family "Bacterial small subunit ribosomal RNA", at positions 524 to 776 of the family's 1533-position model. The record is from RNAcentral.